UACGGAGGAUCCGAGCGUUAUCCGGAUUUACUGGGCGUAAAGCGCGUGCAGGCGGUUCAGCAAGUUGGAUGUGAAAGCUCCCGGCUUAACUGGGAGAGGUCGUUCAAAACUACUGGACUAGAGAGUGGUAGAGGGAGGUGGAAUUCCGGGUGUAGUGGUGAAAUGCGUAGAUAUCCGGAGGAACACCAGUGGCGAAAGCGGCCUCCUGGACCAUUUCUGACGCUCAGACGCGAAAGCUAGGGUAG
This 245-nucleotide ribosomal RNA is filed under the name uncultured Bellilinea sp. Its description in RNAcentral is "partial 16S ribosomal RNA". It matches the Rfam family "Bacterial small subunit ribosomal RNA", at positions 524 to 768 of the family's 1533-position model. The record is from RNAcentral. Lineage: Bacteria; Bacillati; Chloroflexota; Anaerolineae; Anaerolineales; Anaerolineaceae.